GCCAGCAGCUAGCUCUCUGCAACUCUCACAUAGUCGCCCACUGAAGCUAAGCAGGGCUGCGCCUGGUCAGUACCUGGAUGGGAGACCACAUGGGAAAGCUAGGUUGCUGCCGGAA
Molecule: ribosomal RNA, 115 nt
Filed under: Danio rerio (zebrafish)
Lineage: Eukaryota; Metazoa; Chordata; Actinopteri; Cypriniformes; Danionidae
Source: RNAcentral